AUCGGUAACAGUAUUUAAACUGCAAGCAGACUAGCUUGUAGAACCCCUGGGACCGCCCACUGCGCAAAAUAUUAACCAAUUAGCAAUCAAUAAGUUUCGCUACGCGAGAGGAUCUCUCUCUGGUUGGUGGCUGAGCGGUCUGGACGUCUCUCCUGCUACGCGCUAAACACUUUGGAUUUUAAUAAGUUUGUGAGUAAAUAUUGCAGGCUAAGCAGCAUCUGCAGCUUUACUAAAGCUAGAAAGCUUAAGUUCGCUAAUUUAGCCGCUAAACUGACCGUGAGGAGGACCGCUGGUGACUUUCGUGACUCGCACACGGGAGCCGAAUUAUCGUCAGGGGUUGCCAGAUCGGAAUGAAACCCCUAGAUUGGAUUUGCAGCUCUGACCCGUUUGGUUGAAACAGGCAUCUUAACACCGCCAGGAUUCGAUGCAGCACCCGGUACCUCCACGGCUUGUGAACCUGGCGCUUUGACUGCAUUUAGGCCCUGUUUAACAAGCAGUCCUGGGGGCCUGCCACAGUGUGGAGAGAGUCAAAGUGCUGAUGAUGAGUCAGCUUCCCGUGGAAAACGUCCAAGAACGUGUCUGAGUACAAAUAACAGCUCGAUUUCACACGGGAAACGUCUUCGGUUAGAUGAUCGUUACAAAUCUGUGGGUAAGAAAAUACAAAUUAAAGUGAACACUUUACAAUGUAAUUUUUAACAUUAACUGCUGUGUGUAAAUUUUUUCCUUAAACUGUUUACAGAUUUGCAUACCAGUGACCGAGCUGCAUGUGGUGGUGGUGUGGAGCAGACAGGAGCGGCUUCGGAGUUUGACGCUGUUGUCUGGACUGAAGCUUUUGAAUACGUGGGACCAGAACAGUUUCACAGAAAAGCCGGAUGAUGCUGUGGAUACUGGACUAAUUAAUACAGGACAAAUCCAAUAUCAGAAGUGAGAGACAUUGAUGGAGAGGUUUUAAAAGCAAAUCAGCUCAAAGCAGCUCUUACCUUUCUAGCGACAUUGGUGGGUCAGCAAUCUCAUGAAAUUACGAAAAAUACUAUUGAGCAGCGUAGACAAGGCGCUAUUGUGCGUAGAUUAAAUAAUAUUGUUCAGAAAUGAGCAGAAAAGAAUCAGGAAUUGGCAAAAGAAAAUCCUAUACUGUCUGAACAGGUAAAGCAUAUACAUGUGGUACAGGUUAUGCGCGAAGAACAAAACACAUUUUAAAUCUUUAACAGACGUAAUAUUUAAACUCAACAGGGUUUUACAGUUAAAAACUUCAACAAAAUUGUCUGUUUCAGGGUCAUCUAUGUAGUUAUUGGUUGGCAAUUUGAAAAUAUUUCCGUUCUUUACAUAUUCCUGUUUACCUGUUAAACAAACCACAUCAUCAGUACAUGAUAGAUUAUUGUUUUAAAUAAUAAUUAUUAGCAAAAAGAAGCAGACAAUAAAAAUAAUGGGGUCUAAAAGGUGUCGGGAGUCAGACAACACUCCAUGCGUUAGCGCAACAAAUGAUGUUUGGGCACAGAUGUCUAUUAG
Pygocentrus nattereri (red-bellied piranha) is the source of this 1506-nucleotide long non-coding RNA. The record is from Ensembl. NCBI's taxonomy places the organism in Eukaryota, Metazoa, Chordata, Actinopteri, Characiformes, Serrasalmidae.